UACGAAGGGGGCUAGCGUGGUUGGGAAUUCCUGGGCGUAAAGCGCACGUAGGCGGAUUGUUAAGGGAGAGGUGAAAUCCCAGGGCUCAACCCUGGAACUGCCUUUCAUACUGGCAAUCUAGAGUUCAGGAGAGGUGAGUGGAAUUCCGAGUGUAGAGGUGAAAUUCGUAGAUAUUCGGAGGAACACCAGUGGCGAAGGCGGCUCACUGGCCCGAAACUGACGCUGAGGUGCGAAAGCGUGGGGAGCAAACAGG
Molecule: unclassified non-coding RNA, 253 nt
Filed under: uncultured Alphaproteobacteria bacterium
Lineage: Bacteria; Pseudomonadati; Pseudomonadota; Alphaproteobacteria
Description: contains 16S-23S intergenic spacer region
Rfam family: Bacterial small subunit ribosomal RNA
Source: RNAcentral